Molecule: ribosomal RNA, 253 nt
Filed under: uncultured bacterium
Lineage: Bacteria
Description: partial 16S ribosomal RNA
Rfam family: Bacterial small subunit ribosomal RNA
Source: RNAcentral
UACGUAGGGUGCAAGCGUUGUCCGGAAUUAUUGGGCGUAAAGAGCUCGUAGGCGGCCUGUUGCGUCGGCUGUGAAAACCCGGGGCUCAACUCCGGGCCUGCAGCCGAUACGGGCAGACUAGAGUUCGGCAGGGGAGACUGGAAUUCCUGGUGUAGCGGUGAAAUGCGUAGAUAUCGGGAGGAACACCAGUGGCGAAGGCGAUCAUCUGGGGUUGUUCUGACGCUGAGGAGCGAAAGCUAGGGGAGCAAACGGG